UAAGCUUGCUUUAUUUUUAGUGAAAAACUUCAAUGAAAAAUCAAUUUCUCACUAAGAAUUAAAGACUUAAAAGUAGAUAUGAUUCUCAAAUAGUUCAUUAUCAAGAAUCAUCAGAAAUCCAACCAUUAAAUAAAUAUGAUUAACUCCAUAUCUUCAAGAUCUUUUAGAGAUUCAAAUAUUUAAGGGUUGUAUGGAUAAACUAGAAGCUUUAAGGGCU
Molecule: long non-coding RNA, 217 nt
Filed under: Zostera marina
Lineage: Eukaryota; Viridiplantae; Streptophyta; Magnoliopsida; Alismatales; Zosteraceae
Description: long non-coding RNA (ZMAR_LNC001882)
Source: RNAcentral